This 413-nucleotide ribosomal RNA is filed under the name uncultured bacterium. RNAcentral describes it as "bacterial SSU rRNA". It matches the Rfam family "Bacterial small subunit ribosomal RNA", at positions 352 to 782 of the family's 1533-position model. The record is from RNAcentral.
CAGUCGGGAAUUUUGGGCAAUGGGCGAAAGCCUGACCCAGCAACGCCGCGUGAAGGAUGAAGUUUCUCGGAAUGUAAACUUCGUAAGAAUGGGAAGAAUAAAUGACGGUACCAUUUGUAAGGUCCGGCUAACUACGUGCCAGCAGCCGCGGUAAUACGUAGGGACCAAGCGUUGUUCGGAUUUACUGGGCGUAAAGGGAGCGUAGGCGGCAAUUCAAGUCAGUUGUGAAAUCUUCGAGCUUAACUCGGAACGGUCAACUGAUACUGCUUUGCUAGAGUACAGAAGGGGCAAUCGGAAUUCUUGGUGUAGCGGUGAAAUGCGUAGAUAUCAAGAGGAACACCUGAGGUGAAGACGGGUUGCUGGGCUGAUACUGACGCUGAGGCUCGAAAGCCAGGGGAGCAAACGGGAUUAGA